GAUAUCCGAACCCGGGCGUUGGUUGACCCGGGCGCAAGGGACCGAACAUCAGUAGGGAAGUCGGAGAUGCUCUGUGGCGAGAAAAGCUGUGUGAAUUGAUUAGGCGCCCGUACCGCAAACCGACACAGGUAGAUGAGGAGAGAAUCCUAAGGCCAACGGGAGAAGGGUUGUUAAGGAACUCGGCAAAUUGACCCCGUAACUUCGGGAUAAGGGGAGCCUCCUACGGGAGGCCGCAGUGAAUAGGCCCAAGCAACUGUUUACCAAAAACACAGGUCUCUGCUAAAUCGAAAGAUGACGUAUAGGGGCUGACGCCUGCCCGGUGCCGGAAGGUUAAGAGGAGAGCUUAGCGCAAGCGAAGGUUCGAAUUGAAGCCCCGGUAAACGGCGGCCGUAACGACAACGGUCCUAAGGUAGCGAAAUUCCUUGUCAGGUAAGUUCUGACCCGCACGAAUGGCGUAAUGAUUUGGGCACUGUCUCAACAGCCCGCCCGGCGAAAUUGUAGUACUGGUGAAGAUGCCAGUUACCCGCGACUAGACGGAAAGACCCCAUGGAGCUUUACUGUAGCCUAAUACUGAAGAUCGGUAAUGCAUGUACAGGAUAGGUGGGAGCCAGCGAAACCCGGGCGUCAGCUCGGAUGGAGGCAACCUUGGAAUACCACCCUUGUAUUGCUGGUUUUCUAACCUGCGGCCAUGAAUCUGGUCGGGGGACACUGUUAGGUGGGCAGUUUGACUGGGGCGGUCGCCUCCAAAAGCGUAACGGAGGCGCUCAAAGGUUGGCUCAGCACGGACGGAAAUCGUGCAUAGAGUGCAAACGCAUAAGCCAACUUGACUGCGAGACCGACGGGUCGAGCAGGUACGAAAGUAGGAGUUAGUGAUCCGGUGGUAUGUGAGUGGAAAUGCCAUCGCUCAACGGAUAAAAGCUACCCUGGGGAUAACAGGCUGAUCUCCCCCAAGCGUCCACAGCGACGGGGAGGUUUGGCACCUCGAUGUCGGCUCGUCACAUCCUGGGGCUGUAUUCGGUCCCAAGGGUUCGGCUGUUCGCCGAUUAAAGUGGCACGCGAGCUGGGUUCAGAACGUCGUGAGACAGUUCGGUCCCUAUCUGUUGCGGGCGCAGGAGAUUUGAAGGGAGCUGUCCUUAGUACGAGAGGACCGGGAUGGACAGACCUCUGGUGCACCAGUUGUCGUGCCAACGGCACAGCUGGGUAGCUACGUCUGGACGAGAUAAACGCUGAAAGCAUCUAAGUGUGAAACUCCCCCUAAGAUAAGAUCUCCCAUCCAUUAGGAGUAAGGGACGACAAAGACUAUGUCGUUGAUAGGUCGGAAGUGUAAGUGCAGUAAUGCAUUGAGCUGACCGGUACUAAUAACCCGAGGGCUUGACCU
Molecule: ribosomal RNA, 1378 nt
Filed under: metagenome
Description: bacterial LSU rRNA
Rfam family: Bacterial large subunit ribosomal RNA
Source: RNAcentral